This 478-nucleotide ribosomal RNA is filed under the name uncultured bacterium. RNAcentral's name for it is "partial 16S ribosomal RNA". It matches the Rfam family "Bacterial small subunit ribosomal RNA", at positions 28 to 507 of the family's 1533-position model. The record is from RNAcentral.
GAUGAACGCUGGCGGCGUGCUUAACACAUGCAAGUCGAACGAGAAGUGAAGACGGAAACCUUCGGGCGGAAGGCUUUAUUUAGAGUGGCGGACGGGUGAGUAACGCGUGGGUAACCUGCCGCAUACAGGGGGAUAACAGUUGGAAAAGACUGUUAAUACCGCAUAAGAAAACAGCACCGCAUGGUGCGGGGGGAAAAACUACGGUGGUAUGAGAUGGACCCGCGUUCGAUUAGCAAGUUGGCGGGGUAACGGCCCACCAAAGCGACGAUCGCUAGCCGAUCUGAGAGGAUGACCGGCCACUUUGGGACUGAGACACGGCCCAAACUCCUACGGGAGGCAGCAGUGGGGAAUACUGCCCAAUGGGGGAAAUCCUGAUGCAGCGACGCCGCUUGAGUGAAGAAGUAUUUCGGUAUGUAAAGCUCUAUCAGCAGGGAAGAAAAUGACGUUACCCGAGUAAGAAGCCCCGGCUAACUACGUG